Molecule: ribosomal RNA, 329 nt
Filed under: uncultured eukaryote
Lineage: Eukaryota
Description: partial 18S ribosomal RNA
Rfam family: Eukaryotic small subunit ribosomal RNA
Source: RNAcentral
CCCUUAGAUGUUCUGGGCCGCACGCGCGCUACACUGAUGCAUUCAACGAGUCUAAAACCUGCUCUGAUAGGGGUGGGUAAUCUUUUGAAUGUGCAUCGCGAUUGGGAUAGAUGAUUGCAAUUUUUCAUCUUCAACGAGGAAUGCCUAGUAAACGCAAGUCAUCAGCUUGCAUUGAUUACGUCCCUGCCCUUUGUACACACCGCCCGUCGCUCCUACCGAUUGAAUGAUCCGAUGAAUAUCAUGGAUUGAGGAUGUAAGCAGGUUCGCCUGUCUUCAUCUUCGAGAAGUGAAGUAAAUCUUAUCAUUUAGAGGAAGGAGAAGUCGUAACA